AAUGAACGCUGGCGGCAUGCCUAACACAUGCAAGUCGAACGAAGGCUUCGGCCUUAGUGGCGCACGGGUGCGUAACGCGUGGGAAUCUGCCCCUUGGUUCGGAAUAACAGUUGGAAACGACUGCUAAUACCGGAUGACGACGUAAGUCCAAAGAUUUAUCGCCGAGGGAUGAGCCCGCGUAGGAUUAGGUAGUUGGUGUGGUAAAGGCGCACCAAGCCGACGAUCCUUAGCUGGUCUGAGAGGAUGAUCAGCCACACUGGGACUGAGACACGGCCCAGACUCCUACGGGAGGCAGCAGUGGGGAAUAUUGGACAAUGGGCGAAAGCCUGAUCCAGCAAUGCCGCGUGAGUGAUGAAGGCCUGAGGGUUGUAAAGCUCUUUUACCCGGGAUGAUAAUGACAGUACCGGGAGAAUAAGCUCCGGCUAACUCCGUG
This 433-nucleotide ribosomal RNA is filed under the name uncultured bacterium. RNAcentral's name for it is "partial 16S ribosomal RNA". It matches the Rfam family "Bacterial small subunit ribosomal RNA", at positions 29 to 507 of the family's 1533-position model. The record is from RNAcentral.